RNAcentral lists this ribosomal RNA (917 nucleotides) under uncultured Bacteroidota bacterium. RNAcentral describes it as "bacterial SSU rRNA". It matches the Rfam family "Bacterial small subunit ribosomal RNA", at positions 1 to 863 of the family's 1533-position model. The record is from RNAcentral. Lineage: Bacteria; Pseudomonadati; Bacteroidota.
GGAGCUUUCCCAUAUGGUCGACUGCAGGCGGCCCGCGAAUUCACUAGUGAUUAGAGUUUGAUCAUGGCUCAGGAUGAACGCUAGCGGCAGGCCUAACACAUGCAAGUCGAGGGGUAACAGGGAUUGCUUGCAAUCCGCUGACGACCGGCGCACGGGUGCGUAACGCGUAUGCAACCUACCUUUUACAGGGGUAUAGUCAAGAGAAAUUUUGAAUAACACCCCAUACGAUCAUCCUUACACCUGUAAAGAUGAAGAAAACUCCGGUGGUAAAAGAUGGGCAUGCGUCCUAUUAGUUAGUUGGUGAGGUAACGGCUCACCAAGACUGCGAUAGGUAGGGGUCCUGAGAGGGAGAUCCCCCACACUGGUACUGAGACACGGACCAGACUCCUACGGGAGGCAGCAGUGAGGAAUAUUGGACAAUGGAGGCAACUCUGAUCCAGCCAUGCCGCGUGCAGGAAGACUGCCCUAUGGGUUGUAAACUGCUUUUAUACAGGAAGAAACCUUGGUACGUGUACUAAGCUGACGGUACUGUAAGAAUAAGGAUCGGCUAACUCCGUGCCAGCAGCCGCGGUAAUACGGAGGAUCCAAGCGUUAUCCGGAAUCAUUGGGUUUAAAGGGUCCGCAGGCGGUUUUUUAAGUCAGAGGUGAAAUCCUAUCGCUCAACGAUAGAACUGCCUUUGAUACUGAAAGACUUGAGUUAUUGUGAAGUGGUUAGAAUAUGUAGUGUGGCGGUGAAAUGCAUAGAUAUUACAUAGAAUACCGAUUGCGAAGGCAGAUCACUAACAAUACACUGACGCUGAGGGACGAAAGCGUGGGUAGCGAACAGGAUUAGAUACCCUGGUAGUCCACGCCGUAAACGAUGGAUACUAGCUGUUUGACCAACAUUGGUUGGUUGAGUGGCUAAGCGAAAGUGAUAA